CUGAUGUGAUUUUAGUUUAUUGUGAAGCGUUAAAGAUUAUUCAGGUUACUGUGGGACAAGUAGGAGAAUUAUUCUUGCAAGUAUUGAAUGAUAUGCCUUUGUUUUAUAAGAGUGUACUGGGUUCACCUCCUGCCUCUCAAUUGUUUGGUGGAAUACCUAAUCCGGAUGAGGAAGUGAGGUUGUGGAACUCUUUUAGAGAUGAUUUGGAAUCGCAAAUGGUAAUCUGUAUUGGGUUCGCCUCCUGCCUCUCAAUUGUUUGGUGGAAUACCUAAUCCGGAUGAGGAAGUAAGGUUGUGGAACUCUUUUAGAGAUGAUUUGGAAUCGCAAAUGGUAAUGUUGGAUAGGGAUUUCGUUUCCAAGGUAUGUUCAGAUUGGCUGAGGAAUUGUGCCAAGGAUAUCAUGAACAAGAUCAAU
RNAcentral lists this long non-coding RNA (414 nucleotides) under Nicotiana benthamiana. RNAcentral describes it as "long non-coding RNA (NBEN_LNC009648)". The record is from RNAcentral. Lineage: Eukaryota; Viridiplantae; Streptophyta; Magnoliopsida; Solanales; Solanaceae.